AAAAAAACAAAAAACCCAAUGCAGAAAUAGGCAAAAGACCUGAAUCAAAGAAGAGGACAUAUAAAUAGAAUACAAAUUAAGAUGCCCAAUAUCACUGGAAACCAGAAAAAUGAAGAUUAAGAUCUUCAGGGAACUAUUACUAUAAUCCAUCAGAUUGGCAAAAAUUAAAAGUCUGAUAAUUCAAGUCAGGCAAAGAUGUGGAGCAAGAGGAACUCUUAUGAAUAAUCUCUUUGGUAAUAUCUAGUAUAGAUGCCUAUAAUCUACUACUCAGCAAUUUCACCGCUAGAGAGAGAAAUGUGCACAUUGCGCUCCAGAAAAUGUGUGCAUGUAGAUUUAUAGCAUUGUUCAAAAUGGCCCCAAACCGCAAAUAACCCAAAAGUGCAUCCCAACAGAAUACACAGUUAUAGAAUAUCCACACAAAGUUACAAUACACAGCAAUGAAAAGGAAUGGACUUUUGAUAUGUUACAAACUAGAUGAAUCUUAAUGUCAUAAUGCUAAGCAAAAG
This 506-nucleotide long non-coding RNA is filed under the name Homo sapiens (human). RNAcentral describes it as "non-protein coding lnc-FRK-3:1". The record is from RNAcentral. Lineage: Eukaryota; Metazoa; Chordata; Mammalia; Primates; Hominidae.